This 50-nucleotide transfer RNA is filed under the name Trema micranthum. Its description in RNAcentral is "tRNA-Leu". Lineage: Eukaryota; Viridiplantae; Streptophyta; Magnoliopsida; Rosales; Cannabaceae. The record is from RNAcentral.
CUCUCAUUCCGUUAGAAGUUCAAAUUUCCUUAUGUUUCUCGUUCAUUCUA